Long non-coding RNA from Pyrus x bretschneideri (Chinese white pear), 713 nucleotides. RefSeq lists it as uncharacterized. The transcript is spliced from 4 exons. Lineage: Eukaryota; Viridiplantae; Streptophyta; Magnoliopsida; Rosales; Rosaceae. The record is from RefSeq and is a predicted model, not a curated record.
CUCUCUCAUUUCUCUCAGCCCUAUCUCCCUUUAAUAUCAGAACCCUAGCUGCAUCUCAUUUCCUUAUAAUGAAGAAUCCUAGCCGCACCUCAUUACUCACUCUUCUUUGCAAAAACCCAAAACCAGUGAGUUUGCCAUGGAAAUGUAGGCACAUCUAAGCUCCAAUCUUCCCACAAAGGUAAACAUCGACCCUGCCAUUGUUGAAUAUGUGUCCAUUUGAUGAUUUUUAUAUAGAAAUAAGAAGCAAACUAACAUUUGCUUGUUUGAUUUGUGUACGAGUUUCUGGAUCUGCCGAAGAAAUAAUGGGAAAAGGCAGAAUAACACUCCAACAGCUCAGAUGAGAAACAAAAAGGGUAAAAAAUCCGUUGCAUCAACAUGUACGGCUGCUGCAUAUACAACCCAAGAUAGAUGCAGAGGUCCAACAGUCACGAACAAUGGCUGAUCUGGCGUUUGCAAGGGAAAUGGCAAAGAGUGGCUUGGUUAAAUCACAGUUCCAAGCAAACAAAAGAUCCAAAGGAAAACAAAUUAUCAACUGACACAUCUUCAGAUCUGAAAGGUCAUUUUGUAGUAGUGUAUUGGUAAUGUUUUUUAGAGAAUAAAGAGCGAAGGAGUUAGAGAAAUGUGGACUAGAAUUGGAGGUGAUUGCAAGACUGAGUUUUUGGGUUGACAAUUUUUUUAUUAGUAAAUUAUUAAGCCUAUUUGUAAUUUUUCUA